GGGGUGUACUCAGCUCGAUCGAAGGUUUUGAGAUCGUCUCCCCUGCGGCGGCGACGAAGCGUCUGAGCUUCCUUUCGCUAACUGAAAAGGCGAGUCGUGAUUUCUAUAUAAAUAUAUUCUGGAAGGCUCUCCCUUUCCCCUUUAUCAGCCCUCUACCAGAUAUGAACAAUCUUUGUGAAUUCCUAUUUAGAUUCUUAGAAGAGCCCAUUUCAAAGGAUGUAUGCUGCUCAGGUCAAGCUUGGAGAGCUAGAAGCUGAAAAUUGUGGUGUUUAUGUCUCCUCGCAACUGUUCUUAUACAGAUCCUUAGUGUUUAUUGUUACAUCUGCUCUAUUGUUUGAAACGUUGUUGCCUAGGAUUGUCUCAGACAUCAUUUGAUAUAUGCUAGAUUCUGUAAAUAAGAGGAUGUUAUAAAAGCUAUGUUGGAGAGCCAUUCAAGAGUACUUCAUGAUUUAGCUUUUAACACAGUUGCUUGGAAUGAUUCUGUUAUUUUUGUAGGCAAAACUAUGGGACGUUGUGGAUAACUUUUUCUCCACUUUACUUCUAUGUUUGUUCUUUCCCUUCUAUUCUAAUAUGUCCUUUAAAUAUAACUCAGAUCAGAAUCAAUGUAAAAUCUAUGAAUAAAUGUAUUUACUUCUUUCUGUAUAUAGUAAGCAAA
Molecule: long non-coding RNA, 655 nt
Organism: Raphanus sativus (radish)
Lineage: Eukaryota; Viridiplantae; Streptophyta; Magnoliopsida; Brassicales; Brassicaceae
Exons: 5
Source: RefSeq, a predicted model, not a curated record